Molecule: long non-coding RNA, 1005 nt
Organism: Ailuropoda melanoleuca (giant panda)
Lineage: Eukaryota; Metazoa; Chordata; Mammalia; Carnivora; Ursidae
Exons: 3
Source: RefSeq, a predicted model, not a curated record
CCUGAGCCAAAGGCAGACGCUCAACCGCUGUGCCACCCAGGCGCCCCUCACCAUUACACAUUCUUGAUGGAUGGUAUGACAACCACUCUAGCUACUUCCUGCUGGAAAGGGGCAUAGAUUAGGAUUCCAGGAAUGAAACUGCCUUGCAUCCAGUUUUAGAUAUUCCCUGGUACGAGGCUGAACCCCCAUCCUUCAUAGAGCCAUUGUUUCAGAACUCUCAUGUGAAGUCUUGGACAGCAUCUCAUUUCACACUUUGUAACAAGGUCACUUCAGCUAAAAAGCUGUCUCAUUUCAGGAGGUGGGCCAACAGGUGGGCUCUCAAAGUCAGGCCUAUAGGUAGAAAAUUAGCCAGAUAUGCAAGGAAACCAGAAGAAUUCAGGAUCCAGCCCAGUUUUAUAGGUGAACAAGAAACAGUCAAGGACAAUUAAUCAGAAUUAGAAUCUAACACCCAUAAAAUUAUUGAAACACAAUUUUUUUUCUGUCUCUAAAGUCACCCUCGUUUCCAUCAAAGAUAGCCAAACUAAGACUAAUCUGUUUGUGAAACAAGUCCAGUUUUAACAAACUUGGCCUAAUUAUUUACAUAAGUACGCAAGAAUAGCGCCUGGCCAUAUAGGUUCUUUUAAAUCAGCUUUGCUGGAACUUUCCACAAGGAAUUUCAGAUUAAGCAUUUAACAGCCUUCUGAGGCUAAGAACCAAGCAAAAAUACUUGCCAUCAGACUUGCCUGGGAUCUAUAUAUUUGGGUUACUUCUUUUCUUCUCCAGGUCUCCAAAACAUUCUGAGAUUCCUGAGCCCGCCAGGAAGUGACCUUCUUUACCCACCUGGUCUGAACAAAGGAUGUUCAGGUGGCUGCAUCACCCCGGAGGUCCAAGGUCGUGGGAUGACUGAGUUCAGUCACCAGGGCCCAAGUGGGAUAGUCCUCGUGGAGCACCCAAGGUGACCAGUCGUCUACAGUAAGUAAGCACCAGCAGUGAAUGAGAGUUCCUGUUGCUCCACAUGUUCUCCAG